GUGCACUACAGUCUUGGACUCCUGGCCUCAAGCAAUCCCACCUGUUUCCUGAGUAGCUGGACUAUAGGUUCCCUGACCUCCCUGGACCUCAGUUUCCAAAUCUGCUGAUGGAGGAUGAUGUUUUCAGUGCCUACACAGCUCCCAAAGUGAAGAUGAUAUGGAAACUGGGUGGUGUCGAGGACGGUCACACAGAGCCAAGGAGCAGAAAUGCUUGCCCUGCUUCUGCCAUGGUCUUCACAGUGAGAGACAGGCAGCUAUGCCCCUGAAUUCUCCAGGACCUGCCAAGUUGGGCCAUUUCAGAGAGGAGAAACUGAGACUCGGAGCUAUGUAAUCAGCAUACUGGAGCAUAGAAAGCAGAGACAGGCAGAAGGCAAGAACUCAGAGAUGGGAAAGGAAUCCUGACCCACCCAGAUUGGCAAAGCCAUUGCAGACCCAUGGUUCUGGGGUUUUCCUGUUGGCUCGCAAAGUGAUAUCAAGUCAGAGGUAUUGUUUUCCCUUGUCUCUGCCAUUGAUAAGACAGAGAAAAACAGCUCCCAUGAUAACAUUGAUGCUGCCAGCCCUUCCUGCUACUGGCUUUCCUGGUUGGAGUCCUCUCCUAUGCUCCUUCCUCUCUCUCCUUCCGGACUGAGAUUCAAGCCGAGAUGCCUUGUGGGGCAAAGGAGCCGGCGGUGAGGUUCCCUCCUUCAGUUGCUUCAGCAGGCACAUAGCUCCUUCUGAUCUUGGACAAAGCCCAAAAGGCUCUGAGGCAGUGGUGUGCUGGGGCAGGCUCAUACUGACUCAUUAGAGCCAAUUGCUAAAUUUCGGGGAAUCUUGUAAGCCAAUUGUUAAACACAGUCAUUAUUAAAAAUUAGAUGAUAUGAGAUUGCAACUAAAUAAUUUAUACUUUUUUAAAAGUAAUAAACACUCCUAACUCAUCAUGUCCUAUUUACUUUAUUGCAUUUUACUGUUA
This 949-nucleotide long non-coding RNA is filed under the name Homo sapiens (human). RNAcentral describes it as "non-protein coding lnc-EIF5AL1-1:1". Lineage: Eukaryota; Metazoa; Chordata; Mammalia; Primates; Hominidae. The record is from RNAcentral.